AUGGCAGCAGUCCUGUAUGUGGUGGGUAGGUCACAGACUGGAUUUUUCUGGGCUUUUCGGAACCCCAGAGAGAAGUCACAGUUCAGAUACUGGUCGAGCUGUGAGACCUCUGAAGCCGAUUCUAAUUAUGUUCCCAACCCAGCUCUCCCUUCCUCAGAAGAGAGGCUUAGAGGAGAAGGGGAGCGCUGCCCGGCCCUAGCUCCGAGGGCCCUGGUACAAGGGACAACCACCACCCUGGAUUUGGAGAGUGGAAGGCAACGUUUUCCUCCUCACUCCGUUGCAAUAUUGUCACUGACCACAGGAUGGCGGCACAAGGAUGCUAGGUAAGAGGCCUGCCAGUCUGCAGUAAAUCUGCCUCAGGAGUGAUCCAGGUUCCCACAGCACCUUCUCAAGGGGGUUAUGGUUCUGUUCCUGAGAACAGGCAUCUGACGAUGAGGAUAUGGUCAGGCUUCUGCAAGUCAAGAGCUAUGGCCCAACCAUGCAUGUGGUCUUACAGAAAACACAUUUCUACUGGUUGAUAAGCUUAUUGUACGAGACAAGCAAGCAGGAAGCUGCAAAAGGGAUUGCUAUCAGGAAGGCUCAACAUUCACCAAGUCUGGAACAUCUCAUGUUUGAUCCAUGGAAACAAUGAAUGCAGUUUCACUAUGAACUCGGAAUCAAGACCUGGAAAUGACAGAGAAUCCAGCAAGAGAUAGAAAUAUGGACAAAAACCAUGUAUCUAAAGAGGUAAU
Long non-coding RNA from Sarcophilus harrisii (Tasmanian devil), 731 nucleotides. RefSeq lists it as uncharacterized. NCBI's taxonomy places the organism in Eukaryota, Metazoa, Chordata, Mammalia, Dasyuromorphia, Dasyuridae. The transcript has 2 exons. The record is from RefSeq and is a predicted model, not a curated record.